Saccostrea cuccullata (small rock oyster) is the source of this 1838-nucleotide long non-coding RNA. RefSeq lists it as uncharacterized. The transcript has 3 exons. The record is from RefSeq and is a predicted model, not a curated record. Lineage: Eukaryota; Metazoa; Mollusca; Bivalvia; Ostreida; Ostreidae.
CCUCAGAUCUCCAGAUUUCCGCAUUAUUCCGCAUUUUUUCCUCAUUUUAAUAUGGAAAAAAUGUGGAAAAAAAUACGGAGAAAAUUAACAAUACGGAAAAGCAGAAAAUAUACGGAAAUAAUCCGUAAAAUAAACGGAAAUAAUACGGAGAAUUGGACUUAGUCUAUUUUUCAUCUGGAAAAAUAUUGAACUCUUAACUUAGAAUAUUUUUCAUCUGGAAAAAAUACGGAGCUCUGGACUUAGAAUUUUUUCAUCAAGAACAAGAUGUGUUUGUGAGACACAGUAGCACCUGGCGGCAACAUUAAGUUCUAAAAAGCAAUUUUUAGCAAAUGGGUCUCAGUCAAGGUCACACAAUCAUUGUUCUUGGUGUCAUUUGAAAGCACUUUAUUAGUGUAGUAUGCAUACCAAAUAUUAAGUCUCUAUCAUCUAUGGUUCAAAAGUUAUGGCGAAAAUUCGAAAAAAGCUAUAUUUAGCACAUAGGUCACAGUCAAGGUCACAAGGUCAUUGAUCUUGGUGUCAGUUGAAGGUGCCUAAUUAGUGGAGUAUGCAUACCAAAUAUGAAGUCUCUAUCUCUCACGGUUUUAAAGUUAUGGCGAAAGUUCGAAAAAGCUAUUUUUAGCAUAUAGGUCACAGUCAAGGUCACAGACCUUGGUGUCAGUUGAAAGUGCCUAAUUAGUGGAGUAUGCAUACCAAAUAUGAAGUCUCUAUCUCUCACGGUUCAGAAGUUAUGGCGAAAGUUCGAAAAAGCUAUUUUUAGCAUAAAGGUCACAAUCAAGGUCAUAAGGUCAUUGACCUUGGUGUCAGUUGAAAGUGUUUUUGUAGUGGAGUAUCCAUACCAAAUAUGAAGUCUCUAAGUCUCAUGGUUCAAAAGUUAUGGCGAAGGUUAAAGUUGACAACAGACAAACAAACAGACAGACAUACAGCUAAACAGACAGACAGGACAAAAACAAUAUGCGCCCCAAAAAAAUUUGGGUGCAUAAAAACUGUCUUGGAGUUAACAGCAGUUCUCUGUUUCUCCUGAAUGUUAUGUACAAUUUGAUCGGGAUCGGAAGAAUGUUUCAAAAAGUCGGGCUCAGUGAUCAAUUAAUUUAAACAACAGACCGCCAAAAUUUAACCUUGGCCUCCAUGUUGCAACGUCUGCUCUGUCUAAAGGAAGAAGUUUGUUGACCAGACAGCCUGAGAUCGUAUUGCUGUAUCAACCAAAAGAUGCAGAUACACGUAUUUCAUAUGCGCGUCUGUGCAUGAGGAGGAGAUUUCUGAAAAAGAAUAAGUGCUUAUUCAACUUACUGCGAUUUUAACGGGCUUAAAGCUUGGUCCAUGGAUGGUUAUGUUUGAGGAUUUGACAAUUCGACCGCAAGUGCUGCUGCAAGAAAUUAAACAUGCAGAGACCUUACAAAUUACAAAGAAGUCUGAAGAAAAUUUUUAUUGGACAGAUGGGUGUAAAGCACAGACCUGAGAUAUAAAUUGAAUUGUGAGAAAUAUGAAUCAGGGAUGCAGGUAGAAAAUGGCAAAUGUGAUCCAGAUUGAUAAAAAAUGUCUAAAGUUUUUUCUUGUUUUGUAAAUAUUCAAUGCUAUGUCAAUUGUUAUUUUUUCCCCAAUACCUAAUAGUGUUGAACAUUUCACUCCCACUUUUGCUUAAAUAGAAUGAAUAAAUUUCCAUUUAUUUAAUAUGAAUAUUAAAAAAUGCCACAUUUUUUCCAUGAUGAACUUGUGGCUUAAAUAAGAGUUCCAGUUUUUUUUCCAUACAUGCUCCUAUUUGUUUGUCAAAGAUAUAAGAUCCAAUACAUUGCUCAUGAACAUAAUGUGUAAUUUUGUUCAUUCAUUUAUAUGUUUUUUUC